This 406-nucleotide ribosomal RNA is filed under the name Gammaproteobacteria bacterium. RNAcentral's name for it is "bacterial SSU rRNA". It matches the Rfam family "Bacterial small subunit ribosomal RNA", at positions 1 to 389 of the family's 1533-position model. Lineage: Bacteria; Pseudomonadati; Pseudomonadota; Gammaproteobacteria. The record is from RNAcentral.
UAAUAUGAAGAGUUUGAUCCUGGCUCAGAUUGAACGCUGGCGGCAUGCCUAACACAUGCAAGUCGAACGGUAACAGAUAAGAUGAUCUCUUCGGAGUGAAUCUUUGCUGACGAGUGGCGGACGGGUGAGUAAUGCUUGGGAAUCUGCCCAAUAGUGGGGGAAAACUCGGGGAAACCCGGGCUAAUACCGCAUAAUCUCUACGGAGGAAAGAGGGCCUCUACAUGUAAGCUCUCGCUAAUGGAUGAGCCCAAGUCAGAUUAGCUAGUUGGUAAGGUAAUGGCUUACCAAGGCUACGAUCUGUAGCUGGUCUGAGAGGAUGAUCAGCCACACUGGGACUGAGACACGGCCCAGACUCCUACGGGAGGCAGCAGUGGGGAAUAUUGGACAAUGGGGGCAACCCUGAUCC